Molecule: ribosomal RNA, 466 nt
Filed under: uncultured bacterium
Lineage: Bacteria
Description: partial 16S ribosomal RNA
Rfam family: Bacterial small subunit ribosomal RNA
Source: RNAcentral
GAUGAACGCUGGCGGCGUGCUUAACACAUGCAAGUCGAACGAUGAAGCCCAGCUUGCUGGGUGGAUUAGUGGCGAACGGGUGAGUAACACGUGAGUAACCUGCCCUUAACUCUGUGAUAAGCCUGGGAAACUGGGUCUAAUACCGGAUAGGAGCGUCCACCGCAUGGUGGGUGUUGGAAAGAUUUAUCGGUUUUGGAUGGACUCGCGGCUUAUCAGCUUGUUGGUGGGGUAAUGGCUCACCAAGGCGACGACGGGUAGCCGGCCUGAGAGGGUGACCGGCCACACUGGGACUGAGACACGGCCCAGACUCCUACGGGAGGCAGCAGUGGGGAAUAUUGCACAAUGGGCGCAAGCCUGAUGCAGCGACGCCGCGUGCGGGAUGACGGCCUUCGGGUUGUAAACCUCUUUCAGUAGGGAAGAAGCGAAAGUGACGGUACCUGCAGAAGAAGCACCGGCUAACUACGUG